Molecule: ribosomal RNA, 401 nt
Filed under: uncultured bacterium
Lineage: Bacteria
Description: bacterial SSU rRNA
Rfam family: Bacterial small subunit ribosomal RNA
Source: RNAcentral
GUGGGGAAUAUUGGACAAUGGGCGAAAGCCUGAUCCAGCAAUGCCGCGUGAGUGAUGAAGGCCUUAGGGUUGUAAAGCUCUUUUACCAGGGAUGAUAAUGACAGUACCUGGAGAAUAAGCUCCGGCUAACUCCGUGCCAGCAGCCGCGGUAAUACGGAGGGAGCUAGCGUUGUUCGGAAUUACUGGGCGUAAAGCGCACGUAGGCGGCUACUCAAGUCGGGGGUGAAAGCCCGGGGCUCAACCCCGGAACUGCCCUCGAAACUAGGUGGCUAGAAUCUUGGAGAGGUCAGUGGAAUUCCGAGUGUAGAGGUGAAAUUCGUAGAUAUUCGGAAGAACACCAGUGGCGAAGGCGACUCACUGGACAGGUAUUGACGCUAAGGUGCGAAAGCGUGGGGAGCAAA